GAUGAACGCUGGCGGCGUGCUUAACACAUGCAAGUCGAACGAUUAACCCGCCUUCGGGCGGUCAUAGAGUGGCGAACGGGUGAGUAACACGUGACCAACCUGCCUCGCACAUCGGGAUAACUGCCGGAAACGGCAGCUAAUACCGGAUACUAUCCCCCUUCCGCAUGGGAGGAGGAUGAAAGCUUUCGCGGUGCGAGAUGGGGUCGCGGCCCAUCAGGUAGUAGGUGGGGCAGCAGCCCACCUAGCCUACGACGGGUAGCCGGACUGAGAGGUCGAUCGGCCACAUUGGGACUGAGAUACGGCCCAG
Molecule: ribosomal RNA, 307 nt
Filed under: uncultured bacterium
Lineage: Bacteria
Description: bacterial SSU rRNA
Rfam family: Bacterial small subunit ribosomal RNA
Source: RNAcentral